AUGACCGAUCAUGGUCCACGGACGCCCAGGCAUGUCCGCGGACGUUUGAGGGGCCGUGUUAGAUACUCGCGACUGCAGAUGCUUUUACAAGGUGCUCACAGCAAUGAGCUUGCUGCUGCUUCAAAGCUGGAGGAUAGCAUCAACGUUUACCAGACCACCAGUCGCGAUGUAGCCGAGCUUUUCGGCGUUGACCCGGAAGCAAAAAGCGCCCGUUCAUAG
This 219-nucleotide ribosomal RNA is filed under the name Triticum aestivum (bread wheat). RNAcentral's name for it is "partial small subunit ribosomal RNA". The record is from RNAcentral. Lineage: Eukaryota; Viridiplantae; Streptophyta; Magnoliopsida; Poales; Poaceae.